UCUAUUCUAUAUCAAGAAGUAAGUAUACAGGUGUAGUACUAUAUAUACAAGCAUGAUUCGUAAAUUUGAUCAAAGACAUAACCUUGUAGUUGCUCCAAAAAUGCGUUUGCUCCGAAAUGAACGGCUUAUGUAAAUGUUCACAAUUAAUUGUUUAUUACUGUUUUUCACAUAGUUAACAGUUAAUUUAGAAAAAUUGAACUUGAAAAAAAAAUUAGUAAAAAAGUUAAAAGUGAUUUUCUCCUUAGUGUGAGUGAAGUUGACAAUGCGAUGAAGGAUGUAGAUGAAAGUGAAAUUAACUAUGAGAAUAAGGGUAUUGAUAGUGAGGAUGGUGACAAUUAUUUUGAUAGCGAUGAUUUCUCAGACUAUUCUGAUGACAGUGUGAAUUCUAAUGAGCAUGAUCGACAGGCAUUAGCUCAUAGUGAAAAGGAUAGUGAACAAACAUUUAACAUGACAAAUGAAGAACCAGAAGUGAACUUAUUGAGGAUAUGGGCUGUAGACUCUGGAAUUCCAAAAAAUCAUUUGGACUCUUUGCUGAAGAUUUUGAAGAAAAGACUUCUACCGAGCAUACCAUCAUGUUCCAAGAGUUUCUUACGCACCUCUGAUGCAAAAUAUAACAGCCAAACAAUAAUAGACUCUUCCAAUUCAUUAGGCGAGUUCUGUUACCUGGAUAUAACUCAAGGACUGCGUGCAUGUGUCAAUCCACUUUUACACAAUGACCAAAAUCUUAGACUGGAUUAUAACAUUGACGGAGUAAAAAUCAAGAAGUCAAAUUCUAAAUCAAUGUGGUCUAUUCUAUGUAGAAUAUUUUAUAAGCCAAGGCCAACAGCUUAUAAGCCAUUCCCAGUUACAAUUUUUUAUGGCAAUGGAAAACCUAUGGCUCAAAACAAAUUUUUGGAAGAUUUUGUUUGUGAAGUAAACUCUCUACAAGAAAAAGGAAUUGUAAUCAAGUCUGUUCACUUUAAUGUUAAAACUAGAGCUUUUAUGUGUGAUAUACCGACAAGAUCUCAAGUAAAAUGUACUAAAGCACACAUGAGCUUCAAUGGCUGUGAACGGUGUGAUGUGACUGCAUAUAAAGUUGAUCAUACUAUAGUGUACAAGGAAUUUGGUCGUAAAAGAACAGAUGAGGACUUUAGAUCUUUUACUGAUGUGCAGCACCACACUGGCGCAUCACCAUUAUUAGCUAUUGAGCCUAAAGUUAAUCUAGCGGAUCAGCUCAUACUCGACUCCAUGCAUUUGUUAUAUUUGGGACUAAUGUUAAAUGAUAAAGCAGCUGAACACAGAUUUUUUGUUUUUUAUUGUGGACCUGUGGUUUUGAAAAAAGUGCUGAACAAAGAAUUGUAUACAACUUUAUCAAUAGAUUAUUUGACAAGAUUUGUAAAGGAUUCAAAUAUUUAUUAUGGAGAUAAAUUUGUGUCAUUAAAUGUGCAUAAUUUGGUUCAUUUACCUGAUGACGUGGACAAUAUGCAAUGCAAUCUUAGUGAAAUUUCAGCUUUUUCAUUUGAAAGUAAACUGGGGAAAAUCAAGAAUGUUCUGUUAUCACCACACAGAACAAUAUCACAAUAUUGUCGACGAGUCCAUGAAGAAAGACAAGUUUUGGAUCAGAUGGCCAAAGUUCCUCAAGAUAUAUCAAUCUUGAAAGAAAAAAAAAGGCGCAGUAAUUCAGCUAAUGUAUAAAAACCAGUAUUUUUCUUUAGAACAUCCGGAUAACUCAGCUAUAUUAAAAAAUGGUAGUCAUAAAAAUAAAUAAAAUAAUCAAAACUGACCAGAAGAUUUACUUGGAUGUAUUGAAUUAUAAAAUAGUAAAAUCAAUUUUUUCAAGUCCUUGUGAUUCGUCCUUGCUACAAAUGUAUGAAGUAGAAUCAACUGAUAGUAGUCAGCAUUCCAGUAUUGUUCUUAUCGAUGACAUUCACACAAAAAUAAUCAAGAUGAACAUGAGUUUUUCCUCAAGCGACGAGUGCAGAUGCUUUGCAGUGCCACUUUUUUCAUUAAAAAUGAUGUUGAAUGAACAUGAUCAUGCAACAUUUUUUGCUGAAAUGGAUGACCAAUCAGUACUUCUAGACCAAUUCCCUUACCACGUUGUUGAAUUUGUGGCUGCUGGGCGAAAACCAAAAGUGCGCAAGACAGAUAUUGUUG
RNA transcript from Nasonia vitripennis (jewel wasp), 2133 nucleotides. RefSeq lists it as uncharacterized. Lineage: Eukaryota; Metazoa; Arthropoda; Insecta; Hymenoptera; Pteromalidae. The transcript has 2 exons. The record is from RefSeq and is a predicted model, not a curated record.